UUGAACGCUGGCGGCAUGCCUUACACAUGCAAGUCGAACGGUAACAGGUCUUCGGAUGCUGACGAGUGGCGAACGGGUGAGUAAUACAUCGGAACGUGCCCGAUCGUGGGGGAUAACGCAGCGAAAGCUGUGCUAAUACCGCAUACGCCCUACGGGGGAAAGCGGGGGAUCUUCGGACCUCGCGUUAUUGGAUUGGCCUAUGUCUGAUUAGCUAGUUGGUGAGGUAAAGGCUCACCAAGGCUUCGAUCAGUAGCUGGUCUGAGAGGAUGAUCAGCCACACUGGAACUGAGACACGGUCCAGACUCCUACGGGAGGCAGCAGUGGGGAAUUUUGGACAAUGGGCGAAAGCCUGAUCCAGCCAUUCCGCGUGAGUGAAGAAGGCCUUCGGGUUGUAAAGCUCUUUCGGCAGGAACGAAAUGGUCACGGUUAAUAACCGUGACUUCUGACGGUACCUGAAGAAGAAGCACCGGCUAACUACGU
Molecule: ribosomal RNA, 480 nt
Filed under: uncultured bacterium
Lineage: Bacteria
Description: bacterial SSU rRNA
Rfam family: Bacterial small subunit ribosomal RNA
Source: RNAcentral